This 3099-nucleotide long non-coding RNA is filed under the name Pocillopora damicornis (cauliflower coral). RNAcentral's name for it is "uncharacterized LOC113671690, transcript variant X2". Lineage: Eukaryota; Metazoa; Cnidaria; Anthozoa; Scleractinia; Pocilloporidae. The record is from RNAcentral.
AUCAGCUAUUUUACUCACCCUCAGGAGAGUAGAUUUACGGCAUGAUUGGAAGUUCCUUACCGUAGUGACGCUAUGUGACAUUAUGUAACGCAAUACAUUACAACUGUCAUCAAAGACCCUCGAUAAGUACCUACUAAGUCUGGAAAUAAAGAGGAAGAUUAUACGCUUAGAACAAUACAAAUUUUCCGCCCUCUGACGCUGACCAGGUGGCUGAAACCCACGAGCACUAUAAAACUAUGAAGGGUAAAACCACCAGUCGUCAAAAAACCACAACGUGAUGUGUUUUGUUGUUAUCCUGAUUGGUUUACCGGGAGUACUCUAGUGACCUCGAAAUAUGAAAACUAUGUCGGUAUCUGACAGAAUUAUGAGCCAUUUUCCUCCGGAGGGAAAGCUGUAAUACAUAUGGGAGAGGUUGAAAAGAAAAUCAGUUUUAAAUAUGAUUUUGAUCUGCGUAGGAACAUGUGAGGUCUUGGUUUUCUGAUUGUUACAAUGGUGCAAUUAUGAUGUCCGUGUAACUACGAAACUGAAUUAAUUAACAUCGCAAGUGAUUGUUUAGCCAUACAGCUUAAACCGAAAAUGUUUUGGAUAGAACCAAAGAAUGAUUUUCCACAUGUGUAGUGAUACUUUUAAUUUAACGGAUUUCCUCUUGGAUGUUGACUGAAGAAAAAACCGCUCUGGUUUCAGAUAAGGAUCUCGAGUGAUCCGAUGUCAUUUCCAUUCUUUCAGCGGACGAUCAACGAAUCUCCGCUCUCAAAACAAGACGAAUGAAAGAUAUUCCUCACUUCGAACAAUUGGAAAUAAUUUUUCUUCGCCAUAUAUACUUUUGCUUCCUCGAUAUCCUCGGAAAAAUCGAGAUUGGAUGCCAUGUCUUCGCUGUUCUAGAAGUUAUACGUCACGGGCGACGAGCCGGGAAGAAAAUAGUCUGAAAUAUGAGUGGUCAGCGGUGAAAUGGCUUUGAUGACUCAUGUAGAAACAAAUCAUUCGUAGUUCCAGUUAGUAAUUGUGUUAUAGAAACCGAAAUGUCAACAGUACACUUCGCUAAAUAAAAAAUUAAGCAAUUUUUCAAAAGCGUUAUCGUACAAAUAUACUAUGGCAGUAUUGCGUGACCGUUGUUAGCUGGAAUAGUCACGCAAUAGUUGAAACAAUUCACCCGGACUGCAGUCUUUUCAAGACAUAAGUAUUCUUCAUUGAAGCCUUUCGCCAUGACGGACGAAGAUUCUCUGUGCUGUAUGGCUCUCAAACUGGGACUUCCCAAGAGAUUGCUGAAAGAAUCGGUCGAGAAGCGAAAAGAAGAUAUCUGUCAGCGUGUGUUUUGGCUCAAGACGAUUACAUUGUGGUAUGCCUAUCAUCUGAUGACUGUAGUUAUGUUAGGAUAUCUUAUAUUACGAAAGUACAUGGUAAGUAUUAUAAUGACUUGUAGAUUUUUUCAGAUGAAGCUGAUAGAAGAGGAGCUUGCGAUAUUUGUACGUGCAACAACAGGUCAAGGAGAUGAACUUAAAUAUCACCUAGGGGAUCAUGAGUUGAUCCAAUACUAAAUUAUCUGAACUAACAUUGUAAGAAUUGAUUGGUUCACAGUAAGGUGAAUAACAAAUUUGAUCUGGGAUUUAAAGGGUUAAGGUGGUUGGGAAAUAUCUCAAGAUAACGAUUUUGUGAAAACCAGAUUAUCAAAAUUUUGAUUCUGUUAUGAUGAUAAACAGUGGAUACUAUAAAUCUUGAGUAAUUCAUCAUCAGUCUCCUCUGAUUAAAGCAAUAUUUAAUUAAUUUUUAUUUUAUAGAUUUAACUUUAUUACUAAGAAGCUGAAUAAGAGACUGAUCUAGCUGGGUGGUACAGAACUUCAAAGGGUUGGCAUAGCAGAUGACCAGCAUAAUCUUUGGCAUGUUCCAAGUUUGGGAUUAGCAAGUUAUCAAUUUUUUUCUUUCCUAUCAAUUAGGGUCUGUUUUUCAAUUUAGGUUAGAUUACAUACUAAUCAGUAUGUAGUUAUAGAGUGGGGGAUAAUAUAACAAGAAUAUCUUAACUGAAUGGAACCUAAAUGUAUAGGGUCAACAAUGCUGCCUCCUUUGAAAAAAGGGGCCACCUCUCUCUCCUCCCCAGGGGGUCACACCAUAUUUGUCAGUUGUAACUUGCUUAAGGCAGUUGUUCUAUUAUAAAUGCUAUGUUCUGAAUAGAAGGACUAAAUUAAACUAGGCUUAAGUUCUACUACAUAAGGGAACUACUGGUAUCUUUCAAAGGAACUCAUCCAAGUCCCUGUUUUUGGUGAUUUAUAAUAGAAAACCGAAUAAUGUAAAUUACAUUGUGACAAAACUAAAGCAAAAGGCAUGAACAGAAAUGAAUGCAAGUAAAUAUUCACCUAUCAGAACUGUUGACAUAACUGCAAAAAUCAUCAUUAUUUUAUCAUAUCUUUGAGUAUUAACUUCAUAGUCGUCAGUCAGUGCAUUCUACAAGACAAGUGCACUUAUAGCAGGAAAGUAAAGAGUUGAAUAUACUUUUCUUUUAAUUUAGGCCAGAUUGUUGAUCUGUGGUUGAUCUGUGGUUGAAACAACUAUGGGAAAGAAUGCCUAGAAUACAUCCUCUGCCAGCUGGAAAGGAUAUCAUCAGUACUCAUGUUAGGCCUCACUCAAGAUUCAAGGUGAUCUUUGUUGAUACCAUUAAUCCUGUAAAAGAGGACACAAACAAACAGUUAUUUCUGAUUCCAGUCCAAGCAAAAGACAUCCUUUCAAUGCAUGGCUAAUAUCAAACAACCAUGUCACUUGACUAGAUCACUGGCAAGAUGUAAGACUGGUGCAAUUUGAUAUAAAGGGUUCUGGAAUGAGAUCUCCCUGUUCCACACCAGCUUCCUCAGCCUUGCUCCAUUAAGCACCUUGUGGAAAAUUAUCUAGACAUUCAAGGUGUACCAAGAAGACACGUCUUUGAGCUUCUUUCCCACUUCACAAGUUCAGAGCUGGAAAAGGAAAAACUUCAAGAGUUUUGCUCUGCAGAGGGACAGGCUCAUCCAGAUGAAAUCCAGUUACUAGUAGUAGUUGUAAACUACAAAACUAAACUUGUCAAACCGAGGCGAGGCCUGUGCUCCACAUGGCUGGCUUCUCUGGACCCCUUUGAAC